Molecule: non-coding RNA, 19 nt
Filed under: Arabidopsis thaliana (thale cress)
Lineage: Eukaryota; Viridiplantae; Streptophyta; Magnoliopsida; Brassicales; Brassicaceae
Source: RNAcentral
GGGCGUUUGGUCUAGUGGU